This 253-nucleotide ribosomal RNA is filed under the name uncultured bacterium. RNAcentral describes it as "partial 16S ribosomal RNA". It matches the Rfam family "Bacterial small subunit ribosomal RNA", at positions 524 to 776 of the family's 1533-position model. The record is from RNAcentral.
UACGAAGGGGGCUAGCGUUGCUCGGAAUCACUGGGCGUAAAGCGCACGUAGGCGGAUUGCUAAGUCAGGGGUGAAAUCCUGGAGCUCAACUCCAGAACUGCCCUUGAUACUGGCGGUCUCGAGUCCGGGAGAGGUGAGUGGAACUGCGAGUGUAGAGGUGAAAUUCGUAGAUAUUCGCAAGAACACCAGUGGCGAAGGCGGCUCACUGGCCCGGUACUGACGCUGAGGUGCAAAAGCGUGGGGAGCAAACAGG